UCGGCACUCUGAAGCCACAUGGUUUGUAUUAUUCAUUUAACAAUGUGUCUCAGAGUGUAGU
This 61-nucleotide microRNA precursor is filed under the name Sarcophilus harrisii (Tasmanian devil). Its description in RNAcentral is "Sha-Mir-12475-P17_pre stem-loop". The record is from RNAcentral. Lineage: Eukaryota; Metazoa; Chordata; Mammalia; Dasyuromorphia; Dasyuridae.